Molecule: ribosomal RNA, 479 nt
Filed under: uncultured bacterium
Lineage: Bacteria
Description: bacterial SSU rRNA
Rfam family: Bacterial small subunit ribosomal RNA
Source: RNAcentral
GACGACGCUGGCGGCGCGCCUAACACAUGCAAGUCGAACGAGUGGAUGGUCUUCGGACCUGAAGCUAGUGGCAAACGGGUGAGUAACACGUGGGUUACCUACCUCUAAGACGGGGACAACAGUUGGAAACGAUUGCUAAUACCGGAUGUGCUUUACGGAGUAAAGGAGCCUUUAAAGCUUCGCUUAGAGAUGGGCCUGCGGUGCAUUAGCUAGUUGGAGAGGUAACGGCUCCCCAAGGCGACGAUGCGUAGCCGGCCUGAGAGGGCGGACGGCCACACUGGGACUGAGACACGGCCCAGACUCCUACGGGAGGCAGCAGUAGGGAAUUUUCGGCAAUGGGCGAAAGCCUGACCGAGCAACGCCGCGUGAACGAAGAAGGUCUUCGGAUUGUAAAGUUCUGUUGUUGAGGAAGAAGAUACAUUAUAGGGAAUGAUAGUGUAGUGACGGUACUCAAUUAGAAAGCCACGGCUAACUACGUG